RNAcentral lists this ribosomal RNA (1440 nucleotides) under metagenome. RNAcentral describes it as "bacterial SSU rRNA". It matches the Rfam family "Bacterial small subunit ribosomal RNA". The record is from RNAcentral.
AGGAUGAACGCUAGCGGUGUGCUUAAUGCAUGCAAGUCGAACGGGAUCCCAUAGAUUCGCCUUUGGGUGAGAGUGGCGGACGGGUGAGUAACGCGUUGGUGACCUGCCUUGGAGAGGGGGACAACCAUUGGAAACGAUGGCUAAUACCCCGGAUGUUAUCGAGUUUAGAAGUCGAUAACUAAAGCUCCGGCGCUCCAAGAGGGGCCAGCGUCCCAUCAGCUAGUUGGUAAGGUACGGCUUACCAAGGCAUAGACGGGUAGGGGGCGUGAGAGCGUGACCCCCCACACUGGUACUGAAACACGGACCAGAUACCUACGGGUAGCAGCAGCAAGGAAUAUUGCGCAAUGGGCGAAAGCCUGACGCAGCAACACCGCGUGGAGGAUGAAGGCUUUCGGGUUGUAAACUCCUUUUCUGGGGGAAGAGAAAGGACGGUACCCCAGGAAUAAGGCCCGGCUAACUACGUGCCAGCAGCCGCGGUAAAACGUAGGGGCCAAGCGUUAUCCGGAAUUACUGGGCGUAAAGCGCAUUCAGGCGGUUUUCUAAGUUGGACGUGAAAGCUCUCGGCUUAACUGAGAGAGGUCGUUCAAUACUGGAAACUUGAGGAUGGUAGAGGAGAGUGGGAUUCCCGGUGUAGUGGUGAAAUGCGUAGAUAUCGGGAGGAACACCAGAGGCGAAGGCGGCUCUCUGGGCCAUUCCUGACGCUCAGAUGCGAAAGCUAGGGGAGAGAACGGGAUUAGAAACCCCGGUAUUCCUAGCCGUAAACGAUGUCAACUAGGUGUAUGAGGUACCCAAUCCUUAUGUGCUGUAGCUAACGCAUUAAGUUGACCGCCUGGGGACUACGGCCGCGAGGCUAAAACUCAAAGGAAUUGACGGGGCCCCGCACAAGCGGCGGAGCGUGUGGUUUAAUUCGAGAUACGCGAAGAACCUUACCAGGGCUUGACAUAUAUGUGGUAGUGAUCUGAAAAGUGAACGACCCUUCGGGGAGCAUAUACAGGUGCUGCAUGGCAGUCGUCAGCUCGUGCCGUGAGGUGUUCGGUUAAGUCCGAUAACGAGCGCAACCCUCGUCGUUAGUUAUAAGUGUCUAGCGAGACUGCCGGUGAUAAGCCGGAGGAAGGUGAGGAUGACGUCAAGUCAGCAUGGCCUUUAUGUCCUGGGCUACACACACGCUACAAUGGCCGGUACAGUGGGUCGCGGAGCCGCGAGGUGAAGCCAAUCCCCCAAAGCCGGUCUCAGUUCGGAUUACAGGCUGCAACUCGCCUGUAUGAAGUCGGAGUUGCUAGUAACCGCACGUCAGCACAGUGCGGUGAAUACGUUCCCGGGGCUUGUACACACCGCCCGUCACGUCAUGGAAGUUGGCAACGCCUGAAGUCGGUGGGUUAACCUAACGGAGACAGCCGCCCAAGGCGGGGUCGGUAACUGGGACGAAGUCGUAACAAGGUA